This 366-nucleotide ribosomal RNA is filed under the name uncultured soil bacterium. RNAcentral's name for it is "partial 16S ribosomal RNA". The record is from RNAcentral.
GGUAGCGGGUAUGAGAGGAGAUCAGCCACACUGGGACUGAGACACGGUCGAGACUCCUACAGGAGGAAGCAGUGCGGAAUCUUACACGAUGCAGGCUAGCGCUGAUGCAAGACACAUGUCCGACGUGGGUGUGCAUAGAAUAGGCGUCGCCUUGCAUGGGGCGCUUGUGCUGAUGAGAGACGUCUGAUCAACUGUUUUCAAGGUGCGCUGGUCAGUAGUGGCUAGGAGGGGCAAUACUAGUUAGGUGUAUCUGUCGCUAGCUGUCUAUUUCAGAAGUUUCCGGGCAGUGCCGAUGCGAGGCAUGUCCGUAAUUUGAACCCGGGUUUAGCCCUGAUGCCUAUGGUAUAAGGGUAAACGUCAAUUCCC